This 521-nucleotide ribosomal RNA is filed under the name uncultured bacterium. RNAcentral's name for it is "bacterial SSU rRNA". It matches the Rfam family "Bacterial small subunit ribosomal RNA", at positions 777 to 1304 of the family's 1533-position model. The record is from RNAcentral.
AAUAGAUACCCCGGUAGUCCACGCCAUAAACGAUGGAUACUAGCUGUUUGAGCGCAAGUUUGAGUGGCUAAGCGAAAGUGAUAAGUAUCCCACCUGGGGAGUACGGGCGCAAGCCUGAAACUCAAAGGAAUUGACGGGGGCCCGCACAAGCGGUGGAGCAUGUGGUUUAAUUCGAUGAUACGCGAGGAACCUUACCAGGGCUUAAAUGUAGAUUGACGUAUUUGGAAACAGAUAUUUCUUCGGACAAUUUACAAGGUGCUGCAUGGUUGUCGUCAGCUCGUGCCGUGAGGUGUCAGGUUAAGUCCUAUAACGAGCGCAACCCCUGUUGUUAGUUGCCAGCGAGUAAUGUCGGGAACUCUAGCAAGACUGCCAGUGUAAACUGUGAGGAAGGUGGGGAUGACGUCAAAUCAUCACGGCCCUUACGUCCUGGGCCACACACGUGCUACAAUGGCCGGUACAGAGAGCAGCCACUUAGCGAUAAGGAGCGAAUCUAUAAAGCCGGUCACAGUUCGGAUCGGAGU